This 2814-nucleotide long non-coding RNA is filed under the name Marmota monax (woodchuck). Lineage: Eukaryota; Metazoa; Chordata; Mammalia; Rodentia; Sciuridae. The record is from RNAcentral.
CGCGCCAUGCCCGGGCAUCGAGCCCAAUGCUUCAGACACCACGUCUCAUCCUCUGCACAGACCCAGGGAGCUCCGGUGUUUCCAUUUUACAGACGGGGACACUGACGCCCAGGCAGGGGAACGGGUCACCAGGAGCGAAUGACCAGCCUGGCUUCAUCCCACAUCUCCAUUUGACAAGCACUUGGCAUAACCAGCCCCAGAGCCAGACAGGCUUGGGACAGGAUCCCUGGCCUUGACCCUCUUCCCUGUGCCUUGACUUCCCAGCUCGGGGGUCGACAUUCUCAGGAAGCUGAGGAGGGAGUGAAAAGUUUAAAAAUAAGGUCCCUCCCCACAGAUUUUGCAUAAGGGCGCUUGAUGAACGAAAACUAGCAAUUCCACCCUCUGUGACGUGUCUGCAUCCCAGAAACACGCGUGCCAGGAAGGGGGCGAUUCGGGUGUAGCUGAGAACCCACUGGCAGGGAGGUCUUCGCACUGAUUUUCUUGGACCACGCCAGCCUGGGACCGAGGUGAAGAUAUUUAGCCCCAUUUUACAGAUGAGAGACUGAGGCUCAGGGAGGUAGCGAGGGACCCAGGCAGGUUUGGUGAGGCGGGAGGAGCAGUGUCCACGCCACAGCAGUCACCCGGCUGGGGAAGUCCUAGGGGAGCCCUGGGGCCAGCCUGACCUUCCGCCCCCCCGAGGGGCAGGAUGAGGAGACUGCUGGGGCUGAGCCUCUGAGAACUGCGGCUCAGGCCUCCCCAGCGGGCCUUCCCCAGCAGGCUGGAGAGCAGCUUGUCCCCCCGCCCUUCUCUGGGCUCCCUGCAGCCCAGCGUGGCCUGGCCGAGGGUGUGCUGGGAGAAGGGACCGGCAGGAGGGGCGGAGAAGCAAGUGGGAGAAGACAGACAGGGUGGGGGGCCGCAGCCUUGCCCCGGGCCCAGCCCCACACACCACCAGGGCCUGGGGGGAAGGAAGUGCAGGGCGGCCCCCUCCAGCCUGCGCCCAGGUCCUCUCCACAGCACCAGGGAGCGGAUGCCAAGGCAAAUGGGCACCUUCUGGACUGGUCAUUUCCAUGGCCCACCCCUCCCCUUCCCUGCCUCCCCACAGGUUUUGCAUAAGUCUGUCGUGGCUGGCUGUCACCACGGCGACCAGUGGUCACACAGUGUGAGCCCAGGGACAUCCGGUCCUGGACCAGGCUCUGAGGGUUGUUGGUCCACCUCAAGGUGCAGGCCAUCACUGGAUGACGAUCACCAACGUGGCGUCCUGAGGACACUGGAUGGCAUCCACUCUGUCCCCCUGGGAUGGGGGCAGAGCUGGACCAGAAGCCAGGUGCGGGACAUCUUCCAGUGCUCAGAGAGAGCAUUUGUCCCUGCUGACAGCCUGCUCAGGGGAACCCCAUUGUUCCUCUUUAUUGGAACCCCUCAGUCCCCGUGGAUCCUGUAGGGUCCCAUUCCAGCCUUGGGCAGCUUCAGUCUGUAUAACUGGUAGGUCGCUUUGACUGAGUCACUGCCCCUCUCUGAACCUCAGUCUCCUCUUCUGCAGGAUGGGAAGAUAGCGGUCAUACCUUGAAAGGUAGAAUAGCCUAAGGUGACAGAGCGUAGCCAUGCUCAGCACAGGAGCUGGCAGGUGGGGAGCCCUCAAGAUGCGUCACCGUAGAAACACCUUGAGCUCAUCACAGUCGCUGGACACUGAAGCUCCCACAGCACAGAUCGGCCUCCCCUCAGGAGCCUCAACUGGCCGGUGCCAUCCUCCUCCUCACCCGACCUCAGGGGCGCGUGUGAUUGGCCUGGGGGACCCAGGGAAGUCAGCCUGCCUUCCUGGACUUUGGGUGACUGCCCCCUGGACCUCGUCUCCCUGUCUGCGUGAUGGGAGUGAGCGUCUCUGCAGCCGCCUCAGCUCUGACUUGAAAUGCCCCUCGGGGCGCCUGCCCACCUGGGCUGCCCUGCAGGGGCCCUGAGGUCUGUCCCUUGUGUGUCCCUGGCUCUCAUGUCAUGGCCAGUCCAGCCCACUGCACCGAUGGCCUCCCCAGCUCCAGAGCAUCCCAGGACCCCCAGCUCCUGUGUCCUCCCAGGUGACACGUGCAUCAUAGCGCCUCCCUGUGGCUGUGCCCGGAGCCGAUCCUCCUCCAACACCUGUCUUGAGGGGGCACCGAGUGGGGGAAGGGCAGCACUGUCCCCUCCCCCUCGUGGCAGCACAGGUCUACGUGGGCCGGGGUCAAGGGCGGGCCCAAGAUCACCAGGGAACCCUGAGUCCAGGCCUCGCUGGCUGGUUUUGUGUGUUUUUUUCAGGGAUAGGGAUUGAACCCCCAAGCUCCAGCCCCGCUCCUGUUGGUUUUGAUUUUGAGACAGCUCUCGCGCGUUGGCCAGGCUGCCUGGAGCUUGCCAUCCUCCUGCCUCCGCCUCCCGACUCGCUGGGGUCCCAGGCGCGGCCGCCACUGCUACUGAUUUCAAAUGCCCAUGGUCUCACCUCGAGGACAUCGGCCAGGAGGGGUCUGUCCCCGGCUCUGGAGCUGCUGAAGACACCCAACUUCCUCAGGGCAACUAUGAGACACUUUGGGGACACAGAGGGACACUCUCAGCUGGGGAAGGAGCCAGGGGUGUCCCUGGUGGCUGUCCGUUUUGUUACAAGAAGGGACAACCUAGCACUUUGGCCGUCUCCCCUUUCUCCAGGGACAGCUCUGAGCCCUGCUGUUUGCAGGUGCUAUUUUAUUUAAUUCCCACGCCACAGUCCCAUGAGCCGAGUUAUGAUCCUUAUUUCAACGGGGAGGAAACAGAGCCUCAGAGAGGUUAAGCAGCCUGCCCUUGGUCACACAGCAAGGCUGAUGUCCAAUAAAAGUCGUC